UACGGAGGGUGCGAGCGUUUAUCGGAAUUACUGGGCGUAAAGCGCGCGUAGGCGGUCUGAUCAGCCGGUUGUGAAAGCCCCGGGCUCAACCUGGGAACGGCAUCCGGAACUGUCAGGCUAGAGUGCAGGAGAGGAAGGUAGAAUUCCCGGUGUAGCGGUGAAAUGCGUAGAGAUCGGGAGGAAUACCAGUGGCGAAGGCGGCCUUCUGGACUGACACUGACGCUGAGGUGCGAAAGCGUGGGUAGCAAACAGGAUUAGAUACCCUGGUA
This 269-nucleotide ribosomal RNA is filed under the name uncultured prokaryote. RNAcentral describes it as "partial 16S ribosomal RNA". It matches the Rfam family "Bacterial small subunit ribosomal RNA", at positions 524 to 792 of the family's 1533-position model. The record is from RNAcentral.